This 384-nucleotide ribosomal RNA is filed under the name Triticum aestivum (bread wheat). RNAcentral's name for it is "partial small subunit ribosomal RNA". The record is from RNAcentral. Lineage: Eukaryota; Viridiplantae; Streptophyta; Magnoliopsida; Poales; Poaceae.
AUGCUUCUCUUGUCGGUCUGGAGUUGGGAACGUUUGCCAGUUGGGCGGCCAACACCUGCGGGUCUUGGUUAUGAGCCAUGGGAUGAUCAUGAUGACCCGGACCGUAUGCCUACAUGGGCGUAUAAGUGGGGCAAGGUUGAAGGUUUUGUUGGCAAUUCAAAGACCAUGUAUUUGCACUAUUGCAAUGAGCUCGACAUCAUGACCCUGGAGCAGGUUAGUUUGUUGACUGUGUUGCCCCUUUGGUUUUCCAAAAAUCAUAGUAAGCAUCUAUUUUAUUAUUUGACGCUACAGGUGACCUGGGAGCCAUACGGAACGGCAGGCAAUAUUGGCAGAAGUCUCACUUUCAGAUUGAAUCGAAAGUGUUUUGAAGAAGCAAACCUAUAG